CCCUUAGCUUAAUUUGUGAAUAAGGAAAAACGUUUUCCUAUUGUUUUAAUUCUCAGUGUUUGAGGGUUUGUUUGCAUUGGUUCAGAGUUUACUUUAAAUAGUUAAAAAUGCACAUUCGAGGUGUGCGCACGUAUGUGACGUAUAGUGUUUUUGUCUAAAGCUACACUGACUGCGGAUAGCUGGCUAGCUUGAUACAGUUGUUGCGGCAUCCUUGAAAUUAAUAUUUUGUUUCCGCUAGCUUACGUCAGUAAUUAGAAAAACGAAUGAGCAAUAGCCCACACUAUUGCAGGAAAUCACACGCUACCAUGGAUCACAUUUGGCAUCCUCCAAUGUGACUAGGACGUCUGGACUAGUCUUGUGCCAGUGGAGUUAGCUAGCAAACAAGCUGGCUAGCUGGUCUGCUUGCUAAUGCUAUCUAGCUAGGUGAUAUUGCAGCACGUUGAGAUUCUUGAAACUUGUGGAACUUUUUGUCAAGUACAGUACAAUGGCUCCCAAAGACAUCAUGACCAACUCCCAUGCCAAAACCAUCCUCAAUGCCAUGAACUCACUUCGUAAGAGCAACACACUCUGUGACAUCACUUUGAGAGUGGAGAAUACUGACUUUCCUGUACACCGCAUUGUCCUGGCAGCCUGCAGUGACUACUUCUGCGCCAUGUUCACCAGCGAGCUCUCUAAGAAUUCCCAGUUGUCAGAGAAAGGGAAAUCCUUUGUAGACAUUCAGGGGUUGACUGCGUCCACCAUGGAGAUCCUGCUGGACUUUGUUUACACAGAGACUGUUUUGGUCACAGUGGAAAAUGUCCAGGAACUGCUUCCUGCUGCCUGUCUGCUGCAGCUCAAAGGAGUUAAAAGAGCUUGUUGUGACUUUCUGGAUAGUCAGCUUGAUCCCACAAAUUGCCUGGGCAUUCGUGACUUUGCUGAGACCCACAAUUGCCUUGACCUGAUGCAGGCCGCUGAACUCUUCUCCCAGAAGCACUUCCCUGAGGUGGUUCAACAUGAGGAGUUUAUGCUGCUCAGCCAGAACGAGGUUGAAAAACUAGUUAAAUGUGAUGAAAUCCAGGUGGACUCAGAGGAGCCUGUAUUUGAGGCAGUGUUGAAUUGGGUUAAACACAAUAGGAAAGAGAGGGAGCUGUAUUUAUCGGAGAUGCUGGAGCAUGUGCGGAUGCCUUUGCUCACUCCGCGCUAUAUCACAGAUGUCAUCGACUCAGAGCCCCUCAUUCGAUGCAGUCUUCCCUGUCGAGACCUUGUGGAUGAGGCCAAGAAAUUCCACCUUAGACCAGAGCUGAGGAGUGAGAUGCAGGGGCCACGCACCCAAGCCAGAUUAGGUACAGUACUGACCUCCAUUUUUUGGAUUGAUUUUCUUGUCCUAAUUAUAGGGAUACAAGACAAGCUUAGUGGAAGUUACUACCUUAUUCAUGUGGAAAAAGUGAUUACCAUGUUGCUCUUCCAAGGUGCCAAGGAGGUCCUGUUGGUUAUUGGAGGAUUCGGCAGUCAACAAUCCCCUAUAGAUAUCGUUGAGAAGUAUGAUCCUAAAACUCAGGAGUGGAGCUUUUUACCUAACAUUGCUCGGAAAAGGCGUUAUGUAGCUACCGUGUCCCUCAAUGACCGUGUGUAUGUGAUUGGCGGCUACGAUGGUCGAUCGCGGCUUAGCUCGGUGGAGUGCUUGGACUACACGGCAGACGAGGAUGGUGUCUGGUACACCGUCGCCACUAUGAAUGUACGGCGUGGCCUUGCCGGGGCGACAACACUCGGAGAUAUGAUCUAUGUUGCUGGAGGCUUUGACGGUAGCCGCCGUCACACCAGCAUGGAACGAUAUGACCCCAAUAUUGACCAGUGGAGCAUGCUGGGGGACAUGCAGACAGCCAGGGAAGGGGCUGGCCUGGUGGUUGCUAGUGGACUUAUAUACUGUCUUGGUGGGUACGACGGAUUGAAUAUCCUCAAUUCAGUGGAGCGGUAUGACCCUCACACAGGUCAUUGGACGAAUGUUACCCCCAUGGCCACCAAACGCUCAGGGGCCGGUGUAGCCUUGCUCAAUGACCACAUCUAUGUGGUGGGAGGCUUCGAUGGAACAGCGCACCUCGACUCGGUGGAGGUUUACAACAUUAGGACUGACUAUUGGACCACGGUAGCCAGUAUGACCACUCCCCGCUGCUACGUAGGAGCUACCGUCCUCCGGGGACGACUUUACGCCAUAGCUGGACAGAUGAGAAACAAUGAGGGAGACAGGUGAAGAGGAGAUUCAGAGUGAAGGGAGGACACAGGGAUUGAACCCGUCUCCGGUUAAGAGUUGUGCAUAGAGCCGGGAGUGUUAUCACUCGACCACGGCUCUGCACCCGACUUCAGUAUUAAGAGAUACUGAAGGGAUCAUUAAUAUACAUUAUGUAUGAUGGAAACUCCCUUCUGAGCAGUAUCGAGUGUUAUGACCCUGUUAUUGACAGCUGGGAGGUGGUCACCUCCAUGGCCACACAGCGCUGUGAUGCAGGAGUGUGUGUCCUCCGAGAGAAGUGAGAUUUACCUCAGAACAACCUCAAAGGUCGGGUGAAGCGGAGGAGUACAGUCAUCUAGUCCUGAACUUGAAUCUGAUAUUUACGUGCCACUACUAUGGAGCGACAGAGGGAUUAUUCACUUGGAGGCCAGUGUGCUAUAUGUCCUCCCGGAAGUUUCUUGAUUCUAUUCAUCAGACUUUCUCAUCUGAGCUUAGUUACUUCUGUGUGAUAAGAGACAGUGGGUGUACAACAGUGAUUCGAGUUGUUUCAGUCUCUUCAUCAACAGUUGUUGCUUCCAAGAAGACAUCCAUCCCAACCCACUCGGUCGCAUGACACACUUUUAGUGGUAGCUGUUGCCGUGGUUACCUGUGAGUUUUUUGACUCAUCUUUUAAAGUGCAAUAUAUUUCUCUACUUCUGUUAUGAGCAGAAGAAACAAGAGACUCCAGUUUUCUGCUGCUAUAUGCCUUAUGCCCUUGUGGCCCACAUUGAACUGAACAUCCAUGAUGCCUCAUUAGGACUGUGAUUGUUGUCAUGCCAUCAAGUAUGAUGAUUAUUUAGCAUUUGCCAGGUUUUCAGUCAGACAGUAAACCCUUUGUAGAUUUUGUAAUUCUGUAUAAAGCGCUUUUAGAAACAAAUCACUUAUUGAAGAACUGUCAUAUUUACCUGACAGUCAUUAUUUUCAAUGUAUCAAAGAUAUUCAAAUGAAUGACAUUUUAGAGAAAGCACCAUAAUUGUAUUGUGGACUGCAGAUGAUUCCUUGCUCUUUUGCUGUUUCUGUCGUGUUGUCAAAAUCUCUGUCCCCUGCAACUGACUCCGCUGAAGAUGUGCGUGUGGUGCAUGCGUUUGUCCAUAGUGGAUUUGUUUGGACAAGCAAAAUGACUUGACUUCUAUUGUCCAGGGCAAGUACAAAAUCCUGAGGAGUCUUUUGUUGUUACUUGAAAAAGUGAAUAAACAUUGUGAUAAUGUA
RNA transcript from Salmo salar (Atlantic salmon), 3451 nucleotides. It is a transcript of the gene named kelch-like protein 12, with no coding region annotated. Lineage: Eukaryota; Metazoa; Chordata; Actinopteri; Salmoniformes; Salmonidae. The record is from RefSeq and is a predicted model, not a curated record.